Molecule: ribosomal RNA, 307 nt
Filed under: uncultured bacterium
Lineage: Bacteria
Description: bacterial SSU rRNA
Rfam family: Bacterial small subunit ribosomal RNA
Source: RNAcentral
GACGAACGCUGGCGGCGUGCCUAACACAUGCAAGUCGAGCGAGUGGAGUUCUUCGGAACAAAGCUAGCGGCGGACGGGUGAGUAACACGUGGGCAACCUGCCUCAUAGAGGGGAAUAGCCUCCCGAAAGGGAGAUUAAUACCGCAUAAGAUUGUAGCUUCGCAUGAAGUAGCAAUUAAAGGAGCAAUCCGCUAUGAGAUGGGCCCGCGGCGCAUUAGCUAGUUGGUGAGGUAACGGCUCACCAAGGCGACGAUGCGUAGCCGACCUGAGAGGGUGAUCGGCCACACUGGGACUGAGACACGGCCCAG